UUCCGGUUGAUCCUGCCGGAGGCCAUUGCUAUCGGAGUCCGAUUUAGCCAUGCUAGUUGCACGGGUUUAGACCCGUAGCAUAUAGCUCAGUAACACGUGGCCAAACUACCCUACAGACCGCGAUAACCUCGGGAAACUGAGGCCAAUAGCGGAUACAGCUCUCAUGCUGGAGUGCCGAGAGCUGGAAACGUUCCGGCGCUGUAGGAUGUGGCUGCGGCCGAUUAGGUAGAUGGUGGGGUAACGGCCCACCAUGCCCAUAAUCGGUACAGGUUGUGAGAGCAAGAGCCUGGAGACGGUAUCUGAGACAAGAUACCGGGCCCUACGGGGCGCAGCAGGCGCGAAACCUUUACACUGCACGACAGUGCGAUAAGGGGACUCCGAGUGCGAGGGCAUAUAGUCCUCGCUUUUCUGUACCGUAGGGAGGUACAGGAACAAGUGCUGGGCAAGACCGGUGCCAGCCGCCGCGGUAAUACCGGCAGCACGAGUGAUGGCCGAUUUUAUUGGGCCUAAAGCGUCCGUAGCCGGCCGGACAAGUCCGUUGGGAAAUCGACGCGCUCAACGCGUCGGCGUCCAGCGGAAACUGUUCGGCUUGGGGCCGGAAGACCUGGGGGGUACGUCCGGGGUAGGAGUGAAAUCCUGUAAUCCUGGACGGACCACCAAUGGCGAAAGCACCUCAGGAAGACGGACCCGACGGUGAGGGACGAAAGCUAGGGUCUCGAACCGGAUUAGAUACCCGGGUAGUCCUAGCUGUAAACGAUGCUCGCUAGGUGUGCCGCAGGCUACGAGCCUGCGCUGCGCCCUAGGGAAGCCGAGAAGCGAGCCGCCUGGGAAGUACGUCUGCAAGGAUGAAACUUAAAGGAAUUGGCGGGGGAGCACCACAACCGGAGGAGCCUGCGGUUUAAUUGGACUCAACGCCGGA
This 919-nucleotide ribosomal RNA is filed under the name uncultured archaeon. RNAcentral describes it as "bacterial SSU rRNA". It matches the Rfam family "Archaeal small subunit ribosomal RNA", at positions 1 to 922 of the family's 1478-position model. The record is from RNAcentral.